CAGCUAGCAUCAUCCAACACAUUCUGUUCAUAUGAGCAACUAGGCACUUUUCCUAAGUGUUUCUAGUUAUGGCGCACAAACUUUCUUGAAUCCGUCAAAUAUAUUGUUCCCAGUUAAAUAGUUGAGGUUGGGGCCUGGUGGCGUGCUAUGUUGAGGCAAUAGCUUGCAGUACGAUGUGGCUUGGUGAAGGUCAAAAAGGAUGGACAGCAGCAUCAACAGCGCCAUGAUCCUGUCAGCAAUUUUUGGUCAAUCAAAUAGUCGCCCUGCAGAUGUGGAGCGCUAAACAUCGAUUGGAUUCAUGCACAGCUUUGUAGCAGCUACUAUAGCCAUAUGUCUGUGGAGGCAAUUAUGACCUAUAUGAUUGCAGGUUCGAAACUGUGGAUGUUUAGAAUUUAGAUGGGUACAAUGAUUUUGUAUAUGCUCUAAUUUGCUUACAUUUUUUUUCUUAGAUUUGCCUAUGAGAUUUCUAAAGUUGCUUUUAGUUACAAGUGCUGAGUUGUGAGAUUUCUAAAGUUGCUUUUAAUUACAAUUGUUGAGUUCAAUUAUCGGUAUCAAGAUGGUAGAAAUGUCUUUGCGGUUGUGACUGGUUUUGGUGCAAAAUUUAGUCUUGGCCAGUCUGCCAGCUAUUUUACCAGAUGAGGAAAGCUGCAAUCCGAUUCUUUCCAAAAACAAAGAGGCCGGCCCCGAUUCUUUCCAAAAACAAAGAGGCCGUACGGCCGGCCGGCCGUACGGCCGUACGUUAGCCACGUCCAUAAAAAUUUGAGCUAUAAUAGAGUUGAGAUUAAGGGAUACCUAAAAAAGUUAUAUUGUUAGGGGGGCUAUGGCCCCUGCCAGCCCCUCUCAGCUCCGCCACUGUCCAUGGCACUAUGACACUUCCAUAUUGAGACUGGCCUUAGGCUAAUCUCAGAGCAAGU
This is a long non-coding RNA of Panicum virgatum (switchgrass), 914 nucleotides long. RefSeq lists it as uncharacterized. The transcript has 3 exons. The record is from RefSeq and is a predicted model, not a curated record. NCBI's taxonomy places the organism in Eukaryota, Viridiplantae, Streptophyta, Magnoliopsida, Poales, Poaceae.